This is a long non-coding RNA of Alexandromys fortis (reed vole), 777 nucleotides long. RefSeq lists it as uncharacterized. The record is from RefSeq and is a predicted model, not a curated record. The transcript has 3 exons. Lineage: Eukaryota; Metazoa; Chordata; Mammalia; Rodentia; Cricetidae.
CCAUCUUUCAGCUCCUGCCCAGGGAGAUGGCACUAGUCUAGACAACAAACCCAGCCACCCGCUUUGGAUUUUCUGAGUGACAGACAAGCCUGCAGAGGAGUGACAAUCUGAGUUCCCCGGCAUGUUUGGAGAUAAACACCUCGGUAAAAACACGUCCUUCCUGCCUUGUGUAUUCCAAAGAGUGAGAGACGGUGGUUACCUGCACAGGAUCUUCUCGGGGGCUGUCAGCACCCUGUCAUGGCAGGGAGAGACACUCAUCGUUCUCAACCCCUCUGAGGACUCAAACACAGAAAAAGCAUGCAGUUAGAGUAAACAGAGGAAAAUUUUAAACACAAAGCGAUGAAGGCAUUUGGUGAAGAAGUUGUAAAGCUGGAAAAUUUUUACAGACCCACCAAAACCACCGCUGAUAGGAGAUGGUGACUGAGUUACAGGAUGCCAAGAUGGCCUCAGCUUCUCCCACCUCAUUCUCGUUCCAGACCUGGUCCAGAUUGCCUUAGGAGCCUAGAGCUUUUUAUUUGACCUUGGCAAAUGACUACACCUCAGUUUGAAGAGAUUUUGGAGAGCCACACUACACAUUGACUUUUCUGCCUGAAGGUUGGCCUGUGUAAAGAGCCACGGUGCCUGCAUUUGUUUUUUUGGCUGAAUUGGGCUCCACCCAAGCUGCUCACUACCCUAUCAAACUUCUUCUCCCCCAAGGGACAUAGGUGAUGCUACCUACGUUAGAGAUGGUGUGGGGUUGGGCAUAAGCCAAGGAAUCAUGACUAUGACGCUUCAUAA